GCCUAUCAUGCAGUCGAGCGAACAGAAAAGGAGCUUGCUCCUUUGACGUUAGCGGCGGACGGGUGAGUAACACGUGGGCAACCUCACCCUAUAGCUUUGGGAUAACUCCGAGGAAACCGGGGCUAAUACCGAAUAAUCUCUUUUGCUUCAUGGNNAAAGACUGAAAGACGGUUUCGGCUGUCGCUAUAGGAUGGGCCCGCGGCGCAUUAGCUAGUUGGUGAGGUAACGGCUCACCAAGGCGACGAUGCGUAGCCGACCUGAGAGGGUGAUCGGCCACACUGGGACUGAGACACGGCCCANACUCCUACGGGAGGCAGCAGUAGGGAAUCUUCCACAAUGGGCGAAAGCCUGAUGGAGCAACGCCGCGUGAGUGAAGAAGGUUUUCGGAUCGUAAAACUCUGUUGUAAGGGAAGAACAAGUACAGUAGUAACUGGCUGUACCUUGACGGUACCUUAUUAGAAAGCCACGGCUAACUACGUGCCAGCAGCCGCGGUAAUACGUAGGUGGCAAGCGUUGUCCGGAAUUAUUGGGCGUAAAGCGCGCGCAGGCGGUCCUUUAAGUCUGAUGUGAAAGCCCACGGCUCAACCGUGGAGGGUCAUUGGAAACUGGGGGACUUGAGUGCAGAAGAGGAAAGUGGAAUUCCNNGUGUAGCGGUGAAAUGCGUAGAGAUNUGGAGGANCACCAGUGGCGAAGGCGACUUUCUGGGUCUGUAACUGACGCUGAAGCGCGAAAGCGUGGGGAGCAAACAGGAUUAGAUACCCUGGUANUCCACGCCGUAAACNAUGAGUGCUAAGUGUUAGGGGGUUUCCCCCCNUAGUGCUGCAGCUAAAG
RNAcentral lists this ribosomal RNA (831 nucleotides) under Lysinibacillus fusiformis. RNAcentral's name for it is "bacterial SSU rRNA". It matches the Rfam family "Bacterial small subunit ribosomal RNA", at positions 46 to 857 of the family's 1533-position model. Lineage: Bacteria; Bacillati; Bacillota; Bacilli; Caryophanales; Bacillaceae. The record is from RNAcentral.